RNAcentral lists this ribosomal RNA (406 nucleotides) under uncultured bacterium. RNAcentral describes it as "partial 16S ribosomal RNA". It matches the Rfam family "Bacterial small subunit ribosomal RNA", at positions 30 to 526 of the family's 1533-position model. The record is from RNAcentral.
AUUGAACGCUGGCGGCAGGCCUAACACAUGCAAGUCGAGCGAGCGGCGGACGGGUGAGUAAUGUAUGGGAAUCUGCCCGAUAGAGGGGGAUAACUACUGGAAACGGUGGCUAAUACCGCAUACAAUCGGAUGAGCCCAGAUGGGAUUAGCUAGUAGGUGGGGUAACGGCUCACCUAGGCGACGAUCCCUAGCUGGUCUUCGAGGAUGAUCAGCCACACUGGGACUGAGACACGGCCCAGACUCCUACGGGAGGCAGCAGUGGGGAAUAUUGCACAAUGGGCGCAAGCCUGAUGCAGCCAUGCCGCGUGUAUGAAGAAGGCCUUCGGGUUGUAAAGUACUUUCAGCGGGGAGGCGUUACCCGCAGAAGAAGCACCGGCUAACUCCGUGCCAGCAGCCGCGGUAAUUC